AGUGAACGCUGGCGGUAGGCCUAACACAUGCAAGUCGAACGGCAGCACAGUAAGAGCUUGCUCUUACGGGUGGCGAGUGGCGGACGGGUGAGGAAUACAUCGGAAUCUACUUUUUCGUGGGGAUAACGUAGGGAAACUUACGCUAAUACCGCAUACGACCUACGGGUGAAAGCAGGGGAUCUUCGGACCUUGCGCGAUUGAAUGAGCCGAUGUCGGAUUAGCUAGUUGGCGGGGUAAAGGCCCACCAAGGCGACGAUCCGUAGCUGGUCUGAGAGGAUGAUCAGCCACACUGGAACUGAGACACGGUCCAGACUCCUACGGGAGGCAGCAGUGGGGAAUAUUGGACAAUGGGCGCAAGUCUGAUCCAGCCAUACCGCGUGGGUGAAGAAGGCCUUCGGGUUGUAAAGCCCUUUUGUUGGGAAAGAAAAGCAGCAGGUUAAUACCCCGCUGUUCUGACGGUACCCAAAGAAUAAGCACCGGCUAACUUCGUG
Molecule: ribosomal RNA, 491 nt
Filed under: uncultured bacterium
Lineage: Bacteria
Description: partial 16S ribosomal RNA
Rfam family: Bacterial small subunit ribosomal RNA
Source: RNAcentral